RNAcentral lists this transfer RNA (73 nucleotides) under Stieleria marina. RNAcentral describes it as "Planctomycetes bacterium K23_9 tRNA". It matches the Rfam family "tRNA". Rfam says of the family: Transfer RNA (tRNA) molecules are approximately 80 nucleotides in length. Their secondary structure includes four short double-helical elements and three loops (D, anti-codon, and T loops). Lineage: Bacteria; Pseudomonadati; Planctomycetota; Planctomycetia; Pirellulales; Pirellulaceae. The record is from Rfam by way of RNAcentral. RNAcentral also lists the same sequence under 1 other name.
GCUAGCGUAGCUCAGUUGGCAGAGCAGCUGAUUUGUAAUCAGCCGGUCGUGGGUUCGAAUCCCUCCGCUAGCU